AGCAUAUCAAUAAGCGGAGGAAAAGAAACUAACAAGGAUUCCCCUAGUAACUGCGAGUGAAGCGGGAAAAGCUCAAAUUUAAAAUCUGGCGGUCUUUGGCUGUCCGAGUUGUAAUCUAGAGAAGUGUUAUCCGCGCUGGACCGUGUACAAGUCUCCUGGAAUGGAGCGUCGUAGAGGGUGAGAAUCCCGUCUUUGACACGGACUGCCAGUGCUUUGUGAUGCGCUCUCAAAGAGUCGAGUUGUUUGGGAAUGCAGCUCAAAAUGGGUGGUAAAUUCCAUCUAAAGCUAAAUAUUGGCGAGAGACCGAUAGCGAACAAGUACCGUGAGGGAAAGAUGAAAAGAACUUUGGAAAGAGAGUUAAACAGUACGUGAAAUUGCUGAAAGGGAAACGCUUGAAGUCAGUCGCGUUGGCCUGGAAUCAACCUUGCUUUUGCUGGGCGUACUUCCUGGUCGACGGGUCAGCAUCAAUUUUGACCGUUGGAAAAAGCUCAGGGAAAUGUGGCAUCUUCGGAUGUGUUAUAGUCUCUGUUCGCAUACAACGGUUGGGAUUGAGGAACUCAGCACGCCGCAAGGCCGGGUCUUUUGACCACGUACGUGCUUAGGAUGCUGGCAUAAUGGCUUUAAUCGACCCGUCUUGAAACACGGACCAAGGAGUCUAACAUGCCUGCGAGUGUUUGGGUGGAAAACCCGAGCGCGUAAUGAAAGUGAAAGUUGAGAUCCCUGUCGCGGGGAGCAUCGACGCCCGGACCUGACCUUUUGUGACGGCUCCGCGGUAGAGCAUGUAUGUUGGGACCCGAAAGAUGGUGAACUAUGCCUGAAUAGGGUGAAGCCAGAGGAAACUCUGGUGGAGGCUCGUAGCGAUUCUGACGUGCAAAUCGAUCGUCAAAUUUGGGUAUAGGGGCGAAAGACUAAUCGAACCAUCUAGUAGCUGGUUCCUGC
This 939-nucleotide ribosomal RNA is filed under the name Descolea phlebophora. RNAcentral's name for it is "LSU rRNA". It matches the Rfam family "Eukaryotic large subunit ribosomal RNA", at positions 37 to 961 of the family's 3401-position model. The record is from RNAcentral. Lineage: Eukaryota; Fungi; Basidiomycota; Agaricomycetes; Agaricales; Bolbitiaceae.